AUGAACGCUGGCGGCGUGCCUAAUACAUGCAAGUCGAGCGAACGGACGAGAAGCUUGCUUUUCUGAUGUUAGCGGCGGACGGGUGAGUAACACGUGGAUAACCUACCUAUAAGACUGGGAUAACUUCGGGAAACCGGAGCUAAUACCGGAUAAUAUUUUGAACCGCAUGGUUCAAAAGUGAAAGACGGUCUCGCUGUCACUUAUAGAUGGAUCCGCGCUGCAUUAGCUAGUUGGUAAGGUAACGGCUUACCAAGGCAACGAUGCAUAGCCGACCUGAGAGGGUGAUCGGCCACACUGGAACUGAGACACGGUCCAGACUCCUACGGGAGGCAGCAGUAGGGAAUCUUCCGCAAAGGGCGAAAGCCUGACGGAGCAACGCCGCGUGAGUGAUGAAGGUCUUCGGAUCGUAAAACUCUGUUAUUAGGGAAGAACAUAUGUGUAAGUAACUGUGCACAUCUUGACGGUACCUAAUCAGAAAGCCACGGCUAACUACGUG
RNAcentral lists this ribosomal RNA (496 nucleotides) under uncultured bacterium. RNAcentral describes it as "partial 16S ribosomal RNA". It matches the Rfam family "Bacterial small subunit ribosomal RNA", at positions 29 to 507 of the family's 1533-position model. The record is from RNAcentral.